This 1062-nucleotide long non-coding RNA is filed under the name Pogona vitticeps (central bearded dragon). RNAcentral describes it as "lncRNA (ENSPVIG00000000835.1)". The record is from RNAcentral. Lineage: Eukaryota; Metazoa; Chordata; Lepidosauria; Squamata; Agamidae.
UGACACAUUUCCCAUAUACGUAGGUUGUUAUAAUAGUAGAGGUAGAGAAAUGUUACCAAUUUACCAUCACUGGUGUACUGUACAGACACACAAGGCUUAGUAAAAUCAAUGUGAUGUACAAAUGUCUAUCCUUUUGCCAGAUGCAAAAAAAGGAGUAUUUUGAGCACUUAGGUACAUGGAUCUUCUAUGGGGCAAGUAGAUCUAAGCAAUACAUGCAGUACAAUGUAUGCCUUUUUUUCUAUAGUUAAGGCACAAACCAGUGGCAGGGUAAUCUAUAGCUCAUGUAGGUGCAUUCUCUGAUCUAAAAGCAAUACACCAGUCAGUGGAGCAGCACUUGAAGCUGCCUCCUAUGGAAUCAGAACCAUUAAUCCUCAUAUGUCACACUCAUCACCUCCAGCCUUGCUGCCCAGAAUCCUUUCAAACAGAUCUCAUGGAUCGACCUGGGAUUUUCUUUGUGUACAGCUUAUAACAAUAUCUAUUUAUGCCUUCUAUCCCAACUCUGAACCACAAACAGGGACAGAUGCCUUCCUACUGUGAACAACAUGUGCAUUAUGAUGUGAUGGAAUUUUACAAAGAGAACUCUCCUAUGAGACAUUAUUGGACUUCUGAACUACUGAAGCUAUUUUUUGCUCAAGCAACAACAAAUGGCAGAGGUGCUCUAAUCUGGGAGCAGGUCAGCUUUGAAUUUAAUUAUUUGCUGGACAGCUACAGAGUGACAAUGAACUGCAUGCAUCUGCAGGAGUUACUGUGCUUUCAGUUCUAUGAUUUCAAAGGUAUUCGCAGAUGAACAAGAGCACAUGAGAAAUACAGCCAGAAGGCUUCCUCUCAUAAUUCCUGGACUAUGGAUGGAUGAAGCAGUCAGGUAGGCAAGCCCACAAAAGUUUAUAGUCUGCAAAUAUUUUUAUUAGCAUACUAAGAGCCUAUGCAUCCGUGCUAACAACAGAGGAGAGACAAUCUCCUCUCCACAGCUACCAUUUAAACAGGCGAUACUAAUGUCUUAGCAAGGUAGAGUUUUUUAAAGCAUUCUAUGAAAUAAAGGACAGCCAUCUUCCCUUCUCUUCA